UGGAAUGUGGGCAGAAGCGACAGCAGCCA
This 29-nucleotide non-coding RNA is filed under the name Homo sapiens (human). The record is from RNAcentral. Lineage: Eukaryota; Metazoa; Chordata; Mammalia; Primates; Hominidae.